Molecule: ribosomal RNA, 471 nt
Filed under: uncultured Epicoccum
Lineage: Eukaryota; Fungi; Ascomycota; Dothideomycetes; Pleosporales; Leptosphaeriaceae
Description: LSU rRNA
Rfam family: Eukaryotic large subunit ribosomal RNA
Source: RNAcentral
UCCUUGGAACAGGACGUCACAGAGGGUGAGAAUCCCGUACGUGGUCGCUAGCCUUUACCGAGUUCAGCCCCUUCGACGAGUCGAGUGGGUUGGGAAUGCAGCUCUGAAUGGGAGGUAAAUUUCUUCUUAAGCUAAAUACUGACCCCAGACCGAUAGCGCACAAGUGGAGUGAUCAAAAGAUGAAAAGCACUUUGGAAAGAGAGUUAAAAAGCACAUGAAAUUGUUGAAAGGGAAGGGCUUGCAACCUGACUUGCCUGUAUUUGCUCAUCCGGGUUUCUACCCGGUGCACUCUUCUACGGGCAGGCCAGCAUCAGUUUGGGCGGUAGGAUAAAGGUCUCUGUCAUGUACCUCCCUUCGGGGAGAUCUUAUAGGGGAGACCACGUGCAACCAUGCUGGACUGACGUCCGCGCGUCUGCUAGGAUGCUGGCGUAAUGGAUGUAAGCGGACCUUCUUGAAACACAGACCAAGGAG